UAGAUGAAAGGCAUGUGCUACCACACCAGCUGGCCUUAGUGAUCCUGCCACCUCCACUUCUCCAGUGCUGGGAUUCUAGGCUUGCAACACUGCAUCUGGGUUUUCAUCCCCAUUCUUAAUAUUGUGUGCUUCUGAUGGCGUCUCUUUGCCCACUGGAGAGAGAAGCAGGUGACCAGGAUAUAGGCCCAAAGCUAGUGAAGCACAGUAGACCCCACUGGGAAGAAAGGCUGGGCUAGCACUAGAUACUCAUCUGCUAAUCUUGACACCAAGAGGGGGUAAGGCAUGGAACCUUCCCUUCAGCUCCAACACUCUGUUUUAGAGUAUUAAUCUAUUUAUGUGUGUGCACACACAUAUGUGCACAUGCAUACCACAGUACAUGUGUUGAGAUCAAAGGACGAUUUAUAGGAGUUAGUUCUCUCCUUUUGCUAAGUGGGGUCUAGGGAUCAAACUCAGGUUAUCGGGUUACUUUGCAGCCCAAGCUAGCCUUGAACUUGGGCUCCUUCUUGUCCCUGCUUCCAAUCCUGCAAUUACAGGUGCACCACCAAUACAGCUGUCAGUUUCACCGUUGUCUUCAGUUGUGUGUUCUCCAAGGCAGCAGUGAACACUCCUGAGCAGUGUGUGUGAGUGACCGCAAUGCUUAGCCUGAGGCUUACCAACCGAAUGCAUCUGUUUGAUUGCACAGUACACAGUAAGCAUCCUGGCCAUGAAGAUACGGCAGAACACUAAACGGAUACAAAUGAGUUGGCAUCUCUACCAGGGCAAACUGCAGCCCAUGGGCCAAAUCUGGGCCACCACCUGUCUUCAUAAACACAGCCUGGCUUGGGACCCAGCCACACUCCUGUGGUUUUGUGGUGGAGCUGAGUUGAACAGUUGCAAGAGAACAUGUUAUGAAGAUAUGGCAGUUCCCCCUGAAGCACCCCUCUUUCCCCAGAUGGAAGCAACACUGUCAUAGCUCCCAGACCAGCUUCAGAAGAGCAAACAUCCCUGAGUCAAACCCAUCCUGGAAGGAGGUAAUUGAGAAGUGCCAGUCCGUGCCUUCGCUGAGCUGUGCUCCGCGCAGCUGAGCUGUGCUCCGUGCAGGAGUUGCAUCUUUUGAGGCCACAUUGAGAGUCUAGACAGCACGCAGGUAUAAACACAUCCGAUCCCUAUUUGGAGCUUUGAUCUGUUCCUCUGGAGUCAGAAGCUGGAAGCUAUGGCGAGCUCCUGUCAUUUCCCAGAACACACCGUGGCAAGAGACUCCUGGGCCAGUCCAGUCAGUCCAGGUGUUGAGUUCAUAACCCCCAUGGCAUGGCGGAUCAGGCGGACUUCAUGGUGCUGUCGUAAUGACACAGGAAGAUACGCUGCUGUCUCAUGCUUCAAAGGACGCCUAAGAAUAGAUGGUGCAGCUCCGCAGUCACAGACCCAGAAGACACGGGCUACUGGUCAAGGACAGCUAGGACCAAAGGCAAGAUCUAAAAUGAAGAUCAUUGAAGGAUCUGUGGCUCAGGCUAGCUCUCUGGCUCCGGACAUCUGCACUCCUUCCAAAAGGCAGUUCUGGGAGCUCUGCCACCAGGUGGGAGCUGGGGCUCAUGUCGACUCUGCAGCCCCAGAUAAGUCCUAGGCUAAGCAAAGAGGAGGCAUCUCAGUCCCAGCCCGAGACUGCAGAAACUGGGCCCGAAUUGCUGUCUUCUUGGGACUGUUGGAAUCUGGGAAGAGCAAGAUCAACCAUGGGGUUAAACAUUAAUCUCAGCAGAGGAGACGAUCUGGUAAUGGAGACGCCCCAGCACAACCGAGACUCUGGAUGCAGGAGGCUCACAAUAGAGCAGCGAUAAAGGAUGGAAGGAGGGGGCUGGUAGUUCCUCUCUGACCUUGAACUUGGCCAUGUCCACAGAACUGUGGCUAGAUUCUCACCUGAUGUUACUCAGAAACAAGGCUCCGAUGAGAAGACUGCUUCAGAAAGCACUCUCUAGAACUGCCACCUGGGGGGGGGGGUUCACCCUGGCUGAUCUAGGAAUCCUGCCUUCUGGUGCCAGGAAGGGCUGGCAGGAUCCUCACGUGAACACAUCUGUGGUAGUCUGGCAUUUGUUAGUAGGAACAUAUUUCCUGGAGUCAAAUGCUAUGUUCGUAGUGUCUUCUGCUGAGGCCCCACAUGACAAAAUAUGGAUCAAACCAAAUCUGAGACUUCUCUCCAGGCCCACCCGAAGGCUGAAUUAGGAAGCUCUCUAGAGAAGGAAGCUGAGAAACGGUAGUACAAGCCUGAGACGCAGAAUCGGGGCGCAGCCUUUCUUCGCUCCGUUGCCCAGCUCCACCUGCCCUUCCGGGUCCUGCUCCUGGGGGUGAAGACAUCUCAGUUCCAAGUGGUUUCCUGACCCCAAUGACUGCAGUUAUCUUUGGUGCCUUGGGCUGCUGGUGCUGAGCCUUCCCCUACUGUCAGUGGUGGACAAACAGAUUUGGACAUAUUAGAUGGCAUCCUAACCCUUUUAGUAGAAUAGACAUUGCCAGGGUGAGAGUUGCAUUCAGAAUGCAACUGGGUUAUUUGCAUGGGUGGAGUUUCCUCUGAGGUCAUCUCCUUUCCCAAGGGGCAAGCCACAGAAUGUUACUUUCUUGGCCUUCCUUGUGAGACGGCCCUUCUAGUAAUGGCAGAUUCCAGUGAUACUCAUGGCAGUCCCUACCUAUGGCCUGGAUGUCCACCCAGCAGCCCUAUGCAAUGCCAGAGCGAAGUUUCUUCCAUGGUUAGAGACAAGCACAGAUGUCAAAAUUCAAUGUGUGGAGAAGGUGGCCAAGGGGAGAAUGCAGUUCUAUUCCGUUCAUAUGCAGGAGACAGCAAAUCCCCACAAGCAAAUGGGCAUCUGGAAGGAAUUUUCUUGGUACAGAUAGAAGAGAUAGCGUAGAGGGCUAGAGGACUUGCUGUCCUUCCAGAGGAUCUGCAUUUGGUUCCCAGCAUCCACCCUGAACCCACUAAAAACCACCUGUAACGCCAGAGCCAGGGCAUUUGGCGCCCUCUUCUGGUCUCACAUUCACACACACAGACACACAUUCUCACAUACACACAUGUAUGGGUAUACACAUACACAUCCAAAUUUUUUUCUUAAGAAAAAGGAAAAAAAAGACAGCAUAGAAAAUGUUACUCUUUUAUUAUUUCAAGGAGGUAAUACAUAGCCCAGUACACCAAAGCAAGAGGGAAUCAGAGGCAGCAAAUGGUCAGUGGUUUCGGGAAGAGCCUCAUGCUGCGCCCCCAAGCUCCUGUCUGCCCGCUCACAUGAAGGCUGGGACUGUAGCAGUGGAUGGAUGACCAAACUCAGCCCCCUGCUGACUGAAAGGGCGGCAUAGAGGCAGCUCCAGGAUUCAGCACACUGGCAGUGCUUGCCCUACCACCCAAGACCACCAUCACCACGGCAGCCAGCUUGCCUAGCACUGAUUCAGUUUCAGUGAGCUUGGGGUGGGCAGGGCAGGGAUAAUCCUGAGUCAUCAAUUCAGAUGAACACCUUAGUAGUGUUAAUACCUUGGAUGAGAAAAGACAACACUGUUUUGGGGGUGGAUGAGGGAAACGAAGGAAUGGAAGGAGCCGGGGCUGUAGUACUGCCUGGAGGAAGAAGGGGGGGCCUCUCCAAGUACAUGAUGGGGAGAGGCAGGGGCUGGGCUCUGGGACAGGCUGCUUCCUCUGGCACAGAGUUGGCCUAGAGGUUGAUUUUCCAAUCAUAAUUGGUUACCUGGGUCUAGUUAUCAUACCUAGGACAAAACAAGUCUUGCUUACACCAGAGAUGGCCUUAGAGAGAUGCCUGGCUCGGUUCUCCCAGGUUGUGGGGAGGAACUCCAGCUAAGACCCUUCUCCUCCAUUCCCAGCCGCUGUCCUUUGCAGAUGACUGGGGUGAAGGAGACAAACAGGUGCUGCUAUAGCCCAAUGGUCUUUUCCAGGGAGCUCACGCAGGCUCGCAGCCCCACCCUGGCAUGGCACGGAGCUGACAUUUCUACCAAGUGGGUACCAUCUGGUGACUGAAAGGUGGUGUGCAGGUGGGCGUCACAGCAGGGGCUGCAGCGCUGAGAUACUCACACCCUCCAUUUCAGCAUGGUGGGCCAGGCUGCUGGCUGCCAGGAGAGGUGGCUUCUUCCCAGCAUGCACUGCUCUCCUCCAACCCCACUACGCAGGGCUCACAGAGUUUUGGCUUGACAGGUAUGAAAAUAAUUUUAAAAAAAUCACACCACUGUGUAUUCCAAACCCAGAGCUGAUGGCUUUGUUUUGUUUGACAGGCAAGGACAAAGAAACCACAACUCCACAGUGGCCGAGGCUCAUAUAAGCUACCCAGACGGAGAAACCUUGUCUGACGAGGGAGCUGGGGGAGCCAUGCAGUCCUCUAGUCGGUGGUCAGAUCUGAGGUCAACUUGUCUUCACAUUCCUCAAAGCCUGGGACUGGCUUCUGCAGAAAGUGUGUGGUGGCCUGGAUCACCUUGUCGGGCCCAAUGUUGUAGACCGGGUGAGUGGGCUGCUGCAAAGAGAAGAGACAGGAGUUCAUCACCACUCUUGGUUGGCUGGAAUUCACCCGACGAACUUAGACUAAAGGAGCAAGAGUGAUCCACACACGGGCUUACUCCAGGCCCAAAUGUGCAAAGACCGCUAUCCGCUGGAAACAUUUCAUAGUACACACCACGAGGGAACAUAGCACGGCCACUUACAGAUGUACUUUCACAUAUGUUAAUGACAUAGGCAAUGCUCACGCUUAUCUGAAAUACAUUUUGGAGUUUGUUGGACUUUGGAAUAUCCACAUUGACUUUACCUGUUACACGCAGCACCGCACACGUUAAGUAUGUGUCCACCUCUAAGCUACGUCUCUUGCUCCAAAACCUUUUCUUAAGCAUAAUUUUUUUUAUUACUAAUAUUUUUUUUUUACUAAAUUUAUUUUUAAUUAGCAGACAAAACACUUGCGUUUGUUACAGCAUUUUCUUCAUUUCAUUCUGUUUUUAAGAGGCUGGCUAGCCCAGGCUGACCUCAGAUUUGCUGUGUAAGCUGGGUUUGAACUCUUGAUCUUCCUGCUUUCACCUGUAGUGCCACAGGUGUGCACUGGCUUUCAUGGUGACAUCUUCAUGUAUACUUUAUGGUUUGCAUCUUGGCCCCCACUUCUGCUGGUCCCCCAACUCUCCCCAAAUAGUGACCCCUUUGGAUUUCAUGGCACAUAUAUCACACUGCCCUUCUUCCUUCCCUUAAUACCUCUAACAUAGAAAGGUCGCAUUUUCUCUCAUAUGGAGCCCAGAUCAAAAGAGGGAAGAAGAGAGGGGUGAGGAACAUUGUAACUUUUAACAGUUAAAGUUCAUACGUAAACGCACUGUAUGCGGAUCAUAUCCCCCAUAGCCCGCCUUCCCUCUUAGCACCCCUUCCCCACCCGUUAAUUCCCUUUGUCCCCAUUGACAGCUUGAUGUCGAGUUUCAUGUCAUCGAUACAUGCACGUCUGAUGUGUCUGUAUACAGCCCAGGACCCACAAAGAGAGAAACCAUGGACCUUCCUGAGACUGCUCCAUUCACUUACUGUGUUUCCAGCUGCAACCAUCAAUCCUGCAAACGACAUGACUUCAUUCUUUAUGGAAUGAAGAGCCCAUCUUUCUGACGGGAUGUACCCUCCCCAUGCUGCAAUUACAGGUGCACACACAGCUCCCGGCUCUGAACUCUCUGAGAGCCACCACGACGACCCUGGAAAGCUGUACCUUUUCAAGCAUUUUGGAUUAAAUGCUCAUAUGUGGGCAAACCACCGCACAGAAGCAUCUGGAAACCCCUUUGUUUCUUAUGGGUUUUGGUUGUUUUUUGUUUGUUUGUUUGUUUUUGUUUUUGAAACAAGGUUUCUCUGUAGCUUUGGAGCCUGUUCUAGAACUAGCUCUUGUCAACCAGGUUGGCCUUGAACUCACAGAGAUCUGCCUGCCUCUGCCUCCUAAGUGCUUAAGAAAAAGGAAAAAAAAAAGACAACAUAGAAAAUGUUACUCUUUUAUUAUUUCAAGGAGGUAAUACAUAGCCCAGUACAUCAAAGCAAGAGGGAAUCAGAGGCAGCAAACGUGUGUGCUACCACUGCCUGGCCUGAAAGUUCCUUUCAAAACAUGCUUACAGCUGUGACAGGGAGAGCAGGGGCUGGCCAACCCUGGGCACCCACCAAGACAGCCGUCACUCUUUGUAUGCUUGUGUUUCAGUUAUUAAAACGGUGAACAUCUGUGUUCAUAGUUAACAAUAAAGAACACAGCUCUUUCUGAGGGUGAGAGUGUCAGGUCAUAUUUCAAUUCUUUUACAUUAUUUCCCUACAUCACAGAAAAAUUUAAAGUCUGAGCAGGACAGGAUUUUAGAGAAGUAUUCGGGGCCCUCUCUAGGAGAGUGAGGAGGAGGAGGAGGAGGAUACAGCUGCAGAAGAUUUUCACUUUCUUUAUACACACCCCCAUCCUGUGUGGGGAGGGUCAGAAGACAGCAUGUGGUCGGUGGAGUUGGUUUGCUCCUAUUGUAUAGGUUCCAGAGUGAGCUCAGGUUAUGAGGCCUGGCAGCGAGCACCCUUACCUGCUGAACCAUCCUGCCAGCCCCUCAUUUAUUUAGACACAGUAUCAUGUAUCCUAGGCUGGGCUCCAUGUAAAAGGACUGCAGCUAAGAAUGAGUGAAUUUCUGAUCUCCUGCCUCCACCUCUCAAGUGCUGGGUGCCACCAUGCUUGGUUUAUACAGUACAGAGGGACCUGGGGUUUCCUGCGUGCUAGGUGAGCACUCAGCGGCUGAGCUACAGGCCUAGCCCUUCGCCUGUACAAAAUCUCCAAGAGACAAAGAGAGGGAAGCUGGACAUUGCAGUGAACACCUUUAACCCUAGCACUCAGGAGAUAAAGCAGGCAGAUCUCUGUGAGUUUGAGAGUUCUAGGCCAGCCAGCCAGCACUGCAGAGUGAGACCCUGUCUUAAAUGGGGGAGGGGCUGAGGCAGAAAGCUACGCAUGGAAUUUUAUGAGGUCAGCAUAUUUUAAAACACAAAUUGAAAAACACAUUAUAAUAAAAAAUACCUAUCAAUCUUAAAAACA
Non-coding RNA from Myodes glareolus (Bank vole), 7001 nucleotides. The record is from RefSeq and is a predicted model, not a curated record. Lineage: Eukaryota; Metazoa; Chordata; Mammalia; Rodentia; Cricetidae.